Molecule: ribosomal RNA, 253 nt
Filed under: uncultured bacterium
Lineage: Bacteria
Description: partial 16S ribosomal RNA
Rfam family: Bacterial small subunit ribosomal RNA
Source: RNAcentral
UACGUAGGUGACAAGCGUUAUCCGGAAUUACUGGGCGUAAAGCGCACGCAGGCGGCAUUACAAGUCUGACGUGAAAUCUCCUGGCUUAACUGGGAGAGGUCGUUGGAAACUGUAAGGCUUGAGGCGAUGAGAGGGGUGUAGAAUUCCCGGUGUAGUGGUGGAAUGCGUAGAUAUCGGGAGGAAUACCAGUGGCGAAAGCGGCACCCUGGCAUUAGCCUGACGCUCAUGUGCGAAAGCGUGGGGAGCGAACGGG